AUACUUACCUGGCAGGGGAGAUACCAUGAUCACAUAGAUGGUUUUCCCAUGGCAAGUCUCACCCAUUGCACUCUGGAUGUGCUAACCCCUGUAAUUUCACCAAAUAUGGGAAACUCAACUGCAUAAUUUGUGGUAGUGGGGGAUUUUGUUUGUGCUUUCCCCUG
This is a small nuclear RNA of Pongo abelii (Sumatran orangutan), 164 nucleotides long. Its record names the gene U1. It matches the Rfam family "U1 spliceosomal RNA". Rfam says of the family: U1 is a small nuclear RNA (snRNA) component of the spliceosome (involved in pre-mRNA splicing). Its 5' end forms complementary base pairs with the 5' splice junction, thus defining the 5' donor site of an intron. The record is from Ensembl. NCBI's taxonomy places the organism in Eukaryota, Metazoa, Chordata, Mammalia, Primates, Hominidae.